UACGGAGGAUGCGAGCGUUAUCCGGAUUUAUUGGGUUUAAAGGGUGCGUAGGCGGGCUGUUAAGUCAGCGGUAAAAGCCCGGGGCUCAACCCCGGCGAGCCGUUGAAACUGGCUGUCUUGAGAUGUCGAGAGGUAUGCGGAAUGCGCAGUGUGGCGGUGAAAUGCUUAGAUAUUGCGCAGAACUCCGAUUGCGAAGGCAGCAUACCGGCGGCGAUCUGACGCUGAGGCACGAAAGCGUGGGUAUCGAACAGG
This 252-nucleotide ribosomal RNA is filed under the name uncultured bacterium. RNAcentral's name for it is "partial 16S ribosomal RNA". It matches the Rfam family "Bacterial small subunit ribosomal RNA", at positions 524 to 776 of the family's 1533-position model. The record is from RNAcentral.